RNAcentral lists this ribosomal RNA (1207 nucleotides) under Hormood(Iran) cucumber phyllody phytoplasma. Its description in RNAcentral is "bacterial SSU rRNA". It matches the Rfam family "Bacterial small subunit ribosomal RNA", at positions 171 to 1377 of the family's 1533-position model. The record is from RNAcentral. Lineage: Bacteria; Bacillati; Mycoplasmatota; Mollicutes; Acholeplasmatales; Acholeplasmataceae.
GGAUAGGAAGAUAAAAGGCAUCUUUUAUCUUUUAAAAGACCUAGUAAUAGGUAUGCUUUAGGAGGGGCUUGCGCCAUAUUAGUUAGUUGGUAGGGUAAUGGCCUACCAAGACGAUGAUGUGUAGCUGGACUGAGAGGUUGAACAGCCACAUUGGGACUGAGACACGGCCCAAACUCCUACGGGAGGCAGCAGUAGGGAAUUUUCGGCAAUGGAGGAAACUCUGACCGAGCAACGCCGCGUGAAUGACGAAGUACUUCGGUAUGUAAAGUUCUUUUAUCAAGGAAGAAAAGCAAAUGGCGAACCAUUUGUUUGCCGGUACUUGAUGAAUAAGCCCCGGCUAAUUAUGUGCCAGCAGCCGCGGUAAGACAUAAGGGGCAAGUGUUAUCCGGAAUUAUUGGGCGUAAAGGGUGCGUAGGCGGUCUAGUAAGUCAGUGGUGUAAUGGCAACGCUUAACGUUGUCCGGCUAUUGAAACUGCUAAACUUGAGUUAGAUAGAGGCGAGUGGAAUUCCAUGUGUAGCGGUAAAAUGCGUAAAUAUAUGGAGGAACACCAGAGGCGUAGGCGGCUCGCUGGGUCUUAACUGACGCUGAGGCACGAAAGCGUGGGGAGCAAACAGGAUUAGAUACCCUGGUAGUCCACGCCGUAAACGAUGAGUACUAAGUGUCGGGUUAAACCGGUACUGAAGUUAACACAUUAAGUACUCCGCCUGAGUAGUACGUACGCAAGUAUGAAACUUAAAGGAAUUGACGGGACUCCGCACAAGCGGUGGAUCAUGUUGUUUAAUUCGAAGAUACCCGAAAAACCUUACCAGGUCUUGACAUGUUUUUGCAAAAUGAUAGUGAUAUCGUGGAGGUUACCAGAAACACAGGUGGUGCAUGGUUGUCGUCAGCUCGUGUCGUGAGAUGUUAGGUUAAGUCCUAAAACGAGCGAAACCCUUAUCGUUAGUUGCCAGCACGUUAUGGUGGGGACUUUAACGAGACUGCCAAUGAUAAAUUGGAGGAAGGUGAGGAUCACGUCAAAUCAGCAUGCCCCUUAUGACCUGGGCUACAAACGUGAUACAAUGGCUGUUACAAAGGGUAGCUGAAACGCAAGUUCUUGGCCAAUCCCCAAAAACAGUCCCAGUCCGGAUUGAAGUCUGCAACUCGACUUCAUGAAGUUGGAAUCGCUAGUAAUCGCGAAUCAGCAUGUCGCGGUGAAUACGUUCACGG